AGGACGAACGCUGGCGGCGUGCUUAACACAUGCAAGUCGAGCGGAAAGGCCCUUCGGGGUACUCGAGCGGCGAACGGGUGAGUAACACGUGAGUAAUCUGCCCCUAGCUCUGGGAUAGCUCCGGGAAACCGGGAUUAAUACCAGAUACGACCACUUUAGACAUCUUCUGUGGUGGAAAGAACUUCGGCUAGGGAUGAACUCGCGGCCUAUCAGCUUGUUGGUGAGGUAACGGCUCACCAAGGCGACGACGGGUAGCCGGCCUGAGAGGGCGACCGGCCACACUGGGACUGAGACACGGCCCAGACUCCUACGGGAGGCAGCAGUGGGGAAUAUUGCGCAAUGGGCGAAAGCCUGACGCAGCGACGCCGCGUGGGGGAUGAAGGCCUUCGGUUGUAAACCCCUUCAGCAGGGACGAAGCGAAAGUGACGGUACCUGCAGAAGAAGCGCCGGCUAACUACGUGCCAGCAGCCGC
This 472-nucleotide ribosomal RNA is filed under the name uncultured bacterium. RNAcentral's name for it is "SSU rRNA". It matches the Rfam family "Bacterial small subunit ribosomal RNA", at positions 26 to 518 of the family's 1533-position model. The record is from RNAcentral.